CCAUAUUAGAUUGCGACUAUUUUGAAUGGAAAUUUGGCGAAGAAGGACCGACUCUUGAGAUUCACUUGACUAUCAGUUUUACCACACAGUGGUGGUAGUGCUGAUAGUAGCUGGUGGAUUGUAUGGCAGCUUGAAGAGUCCAAAAAAUCACUGUACUUAGCAAGCGUAACCUUAGUUAAAGUUACUUAACCUUUAAGUAGCUCUCUAUAUAUUUUAAGACGCCGAGUUGCACAGCGCCAUUGUUUCACCUGUAUGUGCCAUGUAGAUAGCUCUCCGCCGAACCGAGCUCAGCUCAAAAGCUAGCAUGUUUGCUAACUUGACUCGGCUAACUUAGCUUAACCAUCUGCAACAUUAAUGUUUACUUCUUCGCUUUCGGGCACCUAUACAUGUCGAUAUGGCACAUAGGAAAGAAGUGUUUCUAUCAAAAGUACACCAGAAGCUUUACCCUGCAGCUCCCAUAAUACAGAAGGAACCCAGCCCAGCCCAAGCUGAUAAAACCUACAUGAAAUGAAAUGCCUGUCAGGGGGACACUGCUGGUGGAGAUGCAGGGCAGACACAGAGUGCAGCCAGUCCCAGCAGGCGGAUGUACAUGCCUUCUCCCGCAGAGACUCAUUCAGAGAAAUCCUUCACCCAGAUAGAAAGCUGAAAUAAUGCCAAGGGUCAAGCUGAGGAGAUUGUCCACGACAGCAACGAAGAACUAGACAAAGAUAACGAGGAAGAAGAGCAGAAGAGAAAAAGGAGAAGAAGGAAAAGGAAACCAACUCCUCAUCAAGACUCAAGAUGGAGCAGCUGCAGGGAGCGAGUCCAGCAGGAGUCAGUUCAGUCAAGCUCCUGUGGAUAAGGGUAUAUUAGCAAGAACAAGAAGAGAAAGCUGAAGAACAGGCAGCACAAAGAAAAGCUGCUCUCUAUGGGUCUGCCCCGGGAGGCUGCCCUGGGGUACAUGUUCCAAAAUGAUGGGGAGGUGGAGGAUAACGGGAGGAGAGCUGCAGAGGUGUCAGACUCUCAGGACAACACUGGAAAUCUAGUUGUCAGAUUCCUCUUUGCAUGUAGACAAGCCUUCUCUCCUGUCUGGGACAGUGGAUGAACUGCGUCGCAUAUCCAGCUGAAGUAAGCUCUACUCUCCUCCUGAAGCAGUUCUGCAGUCUCAAGGCCUUUGUUCAAGAGAAAGAGACAGACUGGAAAAGGCACUAGAGGAGCUGUACUGCAACUCCAUGUCUGCAGGAUAUGCCCCAGGAACCUCACUGAGCUGUCCCUGCAGAGGAAACCAAGUCAGUUUGCUGUUCCAGUACUGGAUGACAGACAUUCUUCCAAUGAAGGGAGCAAAGAACACACACAAGAACACACAACUUUCUACAACGCACCCAUGUGACUGUCAAGUCACAGUGAAAAUGAGACACUACUGAAGGGUCAUUUGUCCCAGGAGCUCCUGAGAAUUUCUUAUACACUGCAUUUCAGAAAUACUGAUAAUACUUUAUGAAAUACUUUAUUUUCUUUUAAUCUGUGCCUUUUGUCUAAUCCAUUUUUAUGCAUUAUAUUGUACAAGAAGACGACAAAGCCAGUUAAUCCUGAGCUAGGUGAAUCCUUCAAUCCACCCAGAGGAAGCUUGAAGUUGUCAUCAUUGACCGAGCUGGUUUUCAUGUAGUUUAAAUGGACCGAGCAUUUAAUUGCUGUUAACACAUGUCCUCCUCAUCUAAAGCCGUACUUGACAGAGAAGCAAAUGUCAUCUCUGCUGGAGCUGUGUUGUUUGCAGAUGUUAUGACAUUUAAACCCAGCCGGUUAACCUAAUAGCUACUCAAUUAUCUACACUAUGCUCUCCACAGAUCGAUUUUUGACCACAUUGCUAUUCCAUGUGCCUUUUCAAAUUUGCUGUUUUACUUUGCUGCACUCAAUGAAUUGACAGUCUUCAGGGAAGUAAUGCUGGUGCAACUAAUGGUGCCUUGGCAGGUAUUAUUUUGGGGUUGAGUGAUAAACAACAGUCUCCAUGUUUUUCACAACUUUUUUUUUGGGCCAUUAACUGAUUAUAGCAGCACAGUAUAUUGUUGAUGACCAUGGGAAUUAGUACUACCCACGGAGUUAGUUGCUUAACCUUCCACAUUAGCACACCUCUCUACAGCUCAGGUAAUCAGCUCGGGCUUUUCCAUAGCUCACUGCCAGCAGAUGGGUUCAGGAUUAAUUUGGCUGGACAGUGCCAUUGUAACGACUGAGUGAGAGCUCUCUGCCCCAUACCAGCUUCACAGGAACCGUUGUCAUUCCAGAACGGAUGCAUCAGUAGAGACCAGCAGGUUCUGCUGUACACUGUAACACACACAACUGUGAGCGUGUCAUAUUACAAUGGUGAACAAUUAACAUGAGCUGCCAUCUGUGGCCUCUUCUCAUAUGGAUGCACCCAGUGCUGUGGCGGAUUGAAGUUCAUGAAUUCAUUCUGCAGACAUUAGCCAGUGGAGAUAGUAAGGGCAAAGGAGACAUUGCCUGUCCUUCUUAUGUACGGUGCCUUGCAAAAGUAUUCAUACCCCUUGAACUUUUCCACAUUUUGUCACGUUAC
Molecule: long non-coding RNA, 2542 nt
Organism: Monopterus albus (swamp eel)
Lineage: Eukaryota; Metazoa; Chordata; Actinopteri; Synbranchiformes; Synbranchidae
Exons: 7
Source: RefSeq, a predicted model, not a curated record